This 410-nucleotide ribosomal RNA is filed under the name bacterium enrichment culture clone ALO1_GLFRUDD03GCGRW. RNAcentral describes it as "bacterial SSU rRNA". It matches the Rfam family "Bacterial small subunit ribosomal RNA", at positions 9 to 419 of the family's 1533-position model. The record is from RNAcentral.
GAGUUUGAUCGUGGCUCAGAUUGAACGCUGGCGGCAUGCCUUACACAUGCAAGUCGAACGGCAGCACGGGAGCUUGCUCCUGGUGGCGAGUGGCGAACGGGUGAGUAAUGCAUCGGAACGUAUCCUGGAGUGGGGGAUAACGUAGCGGAAGUUACGCUAAUACCGCAUAUUCUGUGAGCAGGAAAGCGGGGGACCUUCGGGCCUCGCGCUCUUGGAGCGGCCGAUGUCGGAUUAGCUAGUUGGUGAGGUAAAGGCUCACCAAGGCGACGAUCCGUAGCAGGUCUGAGAGGAUGAUCUGCCACACUGGAACUGAGACACGGUCCAGACUCCUACGGGAGGCAGCAGUGGGGAAUUUUGGACAAUGGGGGCAACCCUGAUCCAGCCAUGCCGCGUGAGUGAAGAAGGCCUGG